CGGUACGCCGGCUGGAUGGCGUCCCGAGGAAAGUCCGAGCUCCGCAGGGCAGACUGCCAGGUAACGCCUGGGCGCCGUAAGGCGACGGACAGGGCCACAGAAAACAGACCGCCCUGUAUCCAGAGGGUAAGGGUGAAACGGUGGGGUAAGAGCCCACCGCGCGCCUGGCAACAGGCGCGGCACGGCAACCCCCAGUCGGAG
RNAcentral lists this non-coding RNA (201 nucleotides) under Gemmatimonadetes bacterium 13_1_40CM_70_11. RNAcentral's name for it is "RNase P RNA component class A". It matches the Rfam family "Bacterial RNase P class A", at positions 20 to 222 of the family's 367-position model. From Rfam's summary of the family: Ribonuclease P (RNase P) is a ubiquitous endoribonuclease, found in archaea, bacteria and eukarya as well as chloroplasts and mitochondria. Its best characterised activity is the generation of mature 5'-ends of tRNAs by cleaving the 5'-leader elements of precursor-tRNAs. Lineage: Bacteria; Pseudomonadati; Gemmatimonadota. The record is from RNAcentral.